Molecule: ribosomal RNA, 1424 nt
Filed under: Vibrio parahaemolyticus
Lineage: Bacteria; Pseudomonadati; Pseudomonadota; Gammaproteobacteria; Vibrionales; Vibrionaceae
Description: partial 23S ribosomal RNA
Rfam family: Bacterial large subunit ribosomal RNA
Source: RNAcentral
AGAGAUUAGGUAAAUCCGGUUUCUCUUAAGGCUGAGACACGACGUCGAGCACCUACGGGUGUGAAGUCAUUGAUGCCAUGCUUCCAGGAAAAGCCUCUAAGCUUCAGAUUGUAAGGAAUCGUACCCCAAACCGACACAGGUGGUCGGGUAGAGAAUACCAAGGCGCUUGAGAGAACUCGGGUGAAGGAACUAGGCAAAAUGGUACCGUAACUUCGGGAGAAGGUACGCUCUCGACGGUGAAGUCCCUUGCGGAUGGAGCUAUUGAGAGUCGCAGAUACCAGGUGGCUGCAACUGUUUAUUAAAAACACAGCACUGUGCAAAAUCGUAAGAUGACGUAUACGGUGUGACGCCUGCCCGGUGCCGGAAGGUUAAUUGAUGGGGUUAGACUUCGGUCGAAGCUCUUGAUCGAAGCCCCGGUAAACGGCGGCCGUAACUAUAACGGUCCUAAGGUAGCGAAAUUCCUUGUCGGGUAAGUUCCGACCUGCACGAAUGGCGUAAUGAUGGCCACGCUGUCUCCACCCGAGACUCAGUGAAAUUGAAAUCGCUGUGAAGAUGCAGUGUACCCGCGGCUAGACGGAAAGACCCCGUGAACCUUUACUACAGCUUGGCACUGAACAUUGACCCUACAUGUGUAGGAUAGGUGGGAGGCUUUGAAGCACGUACGCCAGUAUGUGUGGAGCCGUCCUUGAAAUACCACCCUUGUAGUGUUGAUGUUCUAACGUCGACCCCUUAUCGGGGUUGCGGACAGUGCCUGGUGGGUAGUUUGACUGGGGCGGUCUCCUCCCAAAGAGUAACGGAGGAGCACGAAGGUGGGCUAAUCACGGUUGGACAUCGUGAGGUUAGUGCAAUGGCAUAAGCCCGCUUGACUGCGAGAAUGACAAUUCGAGCAGGUGCGAAAGCAGGUCAUAGUGAUCCGGUGGUUCUGAAUGGAAGGGCCAUCGCUCAACGGAUAAAAGGUACUCCGGGGAUAACAGGCUGAUACCGCCCAAGAGUUCAUAUCGACGGCGGUGUUUGGCACCUCGAUGUCGGCUCAUCACAUCCUGGGGCUGAAGUCGGUCCCAAGGGUAUGGCUGUUCGCCAUUUAAAGUGGUACGCGAGCUGGGUUUAGAACGUCGUGAGACAGUUCGGUCCCUAUCUGCCGUGGGCGUUGGAAGAUUGAAGGGGGCUGCUCCUAGUACGAGAGGACCGGAGUGGACGAACCUCUGGUGUUCGGGUUGUGUCGCCAGACGCAUUGCCCGGUAGCUAAGUUCGGAAUCGAUAACCGCUGAAAGCAUCUAAGCGGGAAGCGAGCCCUGAGAUGAGUCUUCCCUGAUACUUUAAGUAUCCUAAAGGGUUGUCGGAGACUACGACGUUGAUAGGUCAGGUGUGUAAGUGCUGUGAGGCAUUGAGCUAACUGAUACUAAUUGCCCGUGAGGCUUAACCAU